This 253-nucleotide ribosomal RNA is filed under the name uncultured bacterium. Its description in RNAcentral is "partial 16S ribosomal RNA". It matches the Rfam family "Bacterial small subunit ribosomal RNA", at positions 524 to 776 of the family's 1533-position model. The record is from RNAcentral.
CACGUAGGGUGCAAGCGUUGUCCGGAUUUACUGGGCGUAAAGAGCGCGCAGGCGGUCGAUCAAGUCGAGUGUGAAAGCCCCCGGCUCAACUGGGGAGGGUCAUUCGAUACUGAUCGACUCGAAGGCAGGAGAGGGUAGUGGAAUUCCCGGUGUAGUGGUGAAAUGCGUAGAUAUCGGGAGGAACACCAGUGGCGAAGGCGACUACCUGGCCUGUUCUUGACGCUGAGGCGCGAAAGCUAGGGGAGCAAACGGG